GUUAAGCGACUAAGCGUACACGGUGGAUGCCCUGGCAGUCAGAGGCGAUGAAGGACGUGCUAAUCUGCGAUAAGCGUCGGUAAGGUGAUAUGAACCGUUAUAACCGGCGAUUUCCGAAUGGGGAAACCCAGUGUGAUUCGUCACACUAUCAUUAACUGAAUCCAUAGGUUAAUGAGGCGAACCGGGGGAACUGAAACAUCUAAGUACCCCGAGGAAAAGAAAUCAACCGAGAUUCCCCCAGUAGCGGCGAGCGAACGGGGAG
Molecule: ribosomal RNA, 262 nt
Filed under: Escherichia coli
Lineage: Bacteria; Pseudomonadati; Pseudomonadota; Gammaproteobacteria; Enterobacterales; Enterobacteriaceae
Description: partial 23S ribosomal RNA
Rfam family: Bacterial large subunit ribosomal RNA
Source: RNAcentral